Long non-coding RNA from Felis catus (domestic cat), 2552 nucleotides. RefSeq lists it as uncharacterized. The transcript is spliced from 3 exons. The record is from RefSeq and is a predicted model, not a curated record. NCBI's taxonomy places the organism in Eukaryota, Metazoa, Chordata, Mammalia, Carnivora, Felidae.
GAGCCCGCGUGGGUAUUUUAGAGCAGGGAGCUCUCUCUUUAGAUCCUAACACCAGAAAGCUAGCCCUGCCUACAGUUCUCCAGAGUGGAACAUGAAAUCAUCGUUCCUGUUCACUCUUCCUGGGCUGGAGAUCAGCUCCCAAGGUGAAGCGGGCAUCUCUGAACAGCAGACUCCAGAGCCUGAUCCCACGGGAUGAGAUGUCAGCAUUGGCUUUUGAGGAACUGAAGAGCAGUCACUCAACCCUGGAACAUUUCUGGGCCAGACUCUGCUUUAGGUGCUGAACUUGCAGGUACAAGUUAAGUGCAGCUGCAAACCUCAAAGAACUUCUCCAAGAACUCACUCUUUAGCAAGGAGAUCCCAACAGAGAGGGGAGCAUAAAGGAAGAAGUGUGCUGCUUGAGGCGAUGGGGAAGUUUCCUCACCACCAACUGCUCUGCCUCAUUUGGCUUCUUGCACCAUCACACCCACACCCUCAUCAUGUACAAGUUUGGGGCUUUUUUUCGAAUGAUAAAACUAAGGAUCAGAAGGCUGAAUCAACAGCUCACUUGGAAUGUGAUUUAAACAUGUGUGCGGUGUACAGAUAGGACCAUCAGCCAGGAGACUCCAUGCUCUUGAACCAAGGGAUGUUUCUGUUGUCCUGCAGGGGCUAAAACACAAACUACAAGCUUUGCUGAGCCCACCUUUUUCUCUCUCCAUAAGUAUGAAGAUGAGUAUCAGAAACACCAAAAAGGAGACUGUGACGCUGAUGGAAAAGCUGCUACCUGAUAUUGCUGAGUGUUGUCCUUCUGAGAAAGAAGACACAUUUACAAAAACAGCACAAAAUGUAAACUUGGAGUCCGGUUUGGGGCUAUGAGCGAUUAUUUUCAUUUCAAUGGUGUCUUGUUCACGGACUUGACUUCUUAUCAGGGGAAGUGCCCUAGUCAAAUAAAUAUUUCCAUUAGUUUUAUUUACUAAAAAGAAAGGAGAUGGAGUUUCCAAAGAGUAAAGAAUAACUCCAUCAAUACCAGCAUCUGCAUCUGAUGCUUCCACUUUGCCAACCAACUGUCUUAUUUUAUUCUUUUCUGGAAGGUUGAAAAAAUAUUGAUCUUGAGUAAAAAUGGGUUCAAACUCAUCUAUCCCUUCAAUAUCCAACCAAACCAUUAAAGAGGCUGCUGAGUCCCCUUUGUCUUUUGCCUGAACUGUGAGGCAGUAUUUACUGUCAUUUUCAUAGUCAAGGACUUGCUUAGUGUGAAUAUCCCCUGUUAAAGGGUCAAUGAGGAAGGGAUGAUGAUCACGAGGCAUCCCGUGAGUGGUGGAACAGGGCGAUAAAAUAGAAUAGGUCAAUUCUCCAUAAGGACCUGCAUCAAAAUCCAAAGCGUUUACGGAACAUACAGUGGAGAAAACAGGGACAUUUUCAGGAACAACACAAUUUAAGUUUGAGAACAUAAACUGAGGUGCAUGGUCAUUAUCAUCCAGGACAUUGAUAAACACAACCGCAAAAGAAAAAUGCUUCCUUUCUUCAUCUGAAGCUUGAAUAGUUAAGGUGAAUUUUGUCGUUUCUUCAUAAUCCAGAGGUUUAAUCAAAUAAAGAACUCCAGUUUUUUCUUCCAAGUGAAAAUGCCCCCUCUCAUUUCCAGAGAUGAUGUGGUAGAUGAUUUCUGCAUGUGGACCCACAUCACGGUCAUUUGCAGAGACCACAGUGAUGUGACUCCCUAGAGGGGUACUUUCCUUGACAUGGGCAUGAUAUUUCAGACUGCUGAAUUUAGGUGGAUUAUCAUUGACAUCAAGUACUUCUAUUGAUACAAUGGCUGUAGAGCUCAAUGGAGGGCAGCCAUGGUCAGAUGCCACAAUGACAAGGUUAUGACUGGCAGCUACUUCUCUGUCCAGGCUACGAAGCAACACCAGGUAACCAGCUUGCUUAUAAGGAUCUUCUGAAUGAAUGAAACUAGUUUCUACAUGGAAAUUAUUCUGCGAAUUACCACUGAUGAUCGAAUAAUCAACGUAUGUGUUUUCACGGGUCCAGUCAUGGUCCAUGGUUGAAAAUGUGAGAAGCGUGCCUCCAAUUUGAGCAUCUUCACUCAAGCUAAGAUUAUAAUAUUCUACUGCAAACUCAGGGGCAUAAUUGUUCGUAUCUUGUAUUUCUAUUUCUACUAAGGUAAGAGCGCUUAGGUCAGGAAUACCACCAUCACUGGCUUCAACGAGAAACUGAAUUGUUGAUAUUUUAUCCAGAGGUAAUACAGGAUUGAUAGUAAAUAUUGUGCCUGAAAAACAAGACAUAGCAUUUCAAUGCUGUGAAAUUAAAUUUUCAUGAUCCACUUGUCAGCAAAUAUUUAUCAAAUAUUUACUAAUGUGUUGUUUUUAUUUGCUAAGUUUUGUUAUUUAAGUUACAACCAAGAGUAACUCCAAAGAGAAAUUUUAAAUUAUUGUAUUUAGACUUUUGUAACACUUGAGAUCCAGAAGUAAUACUCCUGGCAGUCACUCUAUUAAAUAUAUGUGCUAUUGGAAGAUGACUUUGCUACAAAUGUCUCUUAAUUUUAUUUUUGUAAAAUAAACUGUUCCAUUACUAUUUCUUAA